UUGUUGAAACCAUCUGGCAACCCUAUGUCUCUCAGGUUGGACACUGAAAAUAGCUCAGUGUUAUAUUUAUAAUCAGUGGCUGAGCAAUUUUACUUUGAAGUGCACAUGCACAGCACUGGAUUUGCCAACAAAGUAGGACGGGCUACUGUUAUUUUUCUUUUACAGUUUCUGGUUUCUUCGACUCUAUAUUUUGGCAGAUGAGUUUUCAGAGCACUUGGAAAAUUAGAAGGUGCAGUAAGCUAAGUGCACUAAAGGGAGACAAAAAGACGCUGGGAGCAGUUGAAAUUUCAAACGCAGGUAACGGUUUAAAUCAUCUGCCACUCAAAAACAGUUGGCACUUUCUUCAGCCUGUGGUGAGCCUGCUAAGUGGGGGACUACAACUCCCAUCAGCCUCUUUUCCACAUGUGAAUCCCUUUUCCCAGCUAGGUGGGAGGGAAGGGCCUUGACCCAGGAAGUGACUGGGCUCUCCUGGGAAGGGGCAGCUGCAUGGCUACCCAGGAAGUGCUAGAAGCUGGAUGGAGAGGAGAUCCCCCAGGGCCUAUCUGCAGAGUCCCACGUGGAACAGGCUGUGACUGUCAGACAUCCCACCUAGCUGCAGGGAAUGAGAUGCUGCCAAUUGGCGCAACAGAAGCAGCAAUAUGAGCAUUCAAAGAACCUUUGGACUGAAGUUGAAUUAAAAUACUUGAGAACGAAUCACGAGUAAGUUUUGUGAGGAGGAGGUCUUGUAAUGAACCAUUAGCAUGAACCUGCAGACCAAUGAGUAUUGCCACAUGUUGCUGCGUGACAAAGCUACAGAUUGAAGGGGAAACAGCACAAGGGAAAACUACAGAAAAGAGCCUUACGGAAAAAUUGAAAAACCCGUAAGGAAUUUUGCCAUUGACUUCAACAAAGCCAGGAUUUAAUCCACAGAAUGUAAUGGAAAAUUAUCACCAUUUCUAUAGGCUGUUUGAAUGAUCAUGUAGAAAUUUAUGGAAAAGACAGUCCUCUAUUAAAUGCUACAGAAUCAUCAAAAACAAAACAAAAAAUGCCUACAAAAAUGCAGCCCUUCUUAUUAAAUUCUACAGGAUUUCUCCCAAUGGGAGACUGUAGAAAUCGGCUUUUAAAAUGUAUGGCACACUGAACCUCCAUAUCUGAAAUGACAAUAAUGUAAAACAGAGACAUUGGAGAAAUUUGCUGUCAGCUUUCUCAAAACUGCCCUGCCAUCCUGCAUGAACUUUGGCAUGGAUUUCAAUACAGCUAUUGAAACAGAAAAGAAAGAGAAACAAAGUCUAGGAGAGCAGAACUCUUGCACUCAGCCCCAUAUGCUAGGCUAACUUUUUGCCAAGUGGUUUGAGAUUUCAAAGUGGUAAUGCUGUGACUCCUAAACUCUGGGCCAGCAGAUGAGCCCAUGCCUGACAAUCCAGCAUGGAGGAACCAGUGACGCCUAAAAGACAUCAGGAAGCGACAGUGAUCCUUCCCUAAUCCAAAACCCACUGUAGUCAUGGGCAAAUUUCCAUUAACUUCAACAGGGCUUUGGAUCAGGCCCUAGAUGAAGCUGCAUCAUCAAAAGUAAAAUCGACAUGUGCUAGAUGACAACACAAGACCCAUUGAGAACUGACCAGCUGGCACAGAUUAAUGUGGCAAUGGCUUGACAGGACACGAUGCAGCACAGUUGCCAUUUGAAAUGCCGUGACUGAGUUGCAAAGUUAAGAGCGACCUUGGUCCAAUGGUCCCAAAGAGAGACGAUCAAAGAGAGCAGCCGGACAAUUAAACUGCACUAUACCAGAGCACGGUAGAAUUAUUGCAGAAGAGUACAAAAGGAGUAUCCAAUGUUGCUAAAACACAAAGGCCUUUAGGCAUUUAGAAAUGUACUAUGGCACCUACUUUGUCAAGCACCUGGCACCUUCAGAUUUUAAGAAAUGAACUGUAAAACAGCAGAGGACUGGCCUUUCAACGUAUAGGCGUAUCAUCCUUAUUUGGUGACAAAAGAUGCAACAAGAAAAGCUCAGCCUCUGUGUUUCAUCAUCAUUGCUAAGAUCCUGUUUCACUGCUGUCUGAUAUCAGGAGCAAGUUUGAGCUGGAUUCAAGCUAUUUGCUGCCUACGGAUUCAUUCAUGCCCGAUGGGUAUGCUGCUAAAACAAAGGAGCACUGCAUCAUGGACACACAGGAGGCUUGGCACUUAGAUUCAUGGAGGACCCGGGAUGCAAUCUGGAUGGUGGACAGUGUUUCAGUGUAAUUUCCUGCCACUGCCGAAAUGUGAGCUAUCAU
This is a non-coding RNA of Pelodiscus sinensis (Chinese soft-shelled turtle), 2247 nucleotides long. The record is from RefSeq and is a predicted model, not a curated record. Lineage: Eukaryota; Metazoa; Chordata; Testudines; Trionychidae.